RNAcentral lists this ribosomal RNA (433 nucleotides) under uncultured bacterium. Its description in RNAcentral is "partial 16S ribosomal RNA". It matches the Rfam family "Bacterial small subunit ribosomal RNA", at positions 29 to 507 of the family's 1533-position model. The record is from RNAcentral.
AACGAACGCUGGCGGCAUGCCUAAUACAUGCAAGUCGAGCGAAGACUUCGGUCCUUGCGGCGGACGAGUUAGUAACGCGUGGGGACGGGCACUUUUCGUCGGAAUAGCCCUAGGACACUGAGAGUUAUAGCAGAUGAGCGCUAUUGGGGAAAGAUUUAUGAGCGAAGUGGCGACCGGGUGUGGGUCGGGUAUGUUGUGGGGUAAUGACAUACCAGGCCGGCGAUCCAUAGCUGGUUUGAGAGGAUGAUCAGCCACACUGGGACUGAGACGCGGCCCAGAAUCCUCCGGGAUGCAGCAGUGGGUGAUCGUAGACCAUGGGGGAAGUGCUGAUCGUGCCAGGACGCGUGAGCGCUGAAAGCCUUAGAGUUGUAAAGCUCUUUCAGCUGGGAAGAUAAUGACGGUACCAGCAGAAGAAGCCACGGCUAACUACGUG